GAGGGGAGCCCUGAGCGGAGCCCUGAGCGGAGCCCUCAGCGCUGCCUCCGCCGCGCCGGGAGCCGCCCACGGCCAUCGCCCCAGGGUCCUCCCCACGCCGAGAGGAGCUGCUAUCUGCAGUAACAGCACGAUGAACAGAGCAGCUGCAUGGUGUCACUCUUAGAGCUAAAGAUAACAUCAGAUAAGGUGCCAAACGGGACGGGCUGCAGGUGAGAUCUUCGAUCAGAAGUGAUGAGAGACUUUGCAACAGGAAUCUGAAGACCAGGAUUUGACAGUCUCCAGGACUAGCCUAAUGGCUCUCCUAGGGGAUUUGCAUCAUCCUCUAUCUUCUCCCGAAAUGAAUUACAUUAUUUGGAGCCUCGACAGGUAAGGCAAAGAUUUUGUGAACUUGUAUCCCAACUGCAGCAUGCAUCCAAGAAACAUCAGUUAAGUUUUACUUCAAAGAAAGGUAAAUGUUUGACAGUUGGUUUGAUUACAGCUUGAGCUCUGGCAUCAGGAAGUUACAAGCUACCAUAGCACCCAAAAAGCAGCAGAGAUUUUGAUAAUCAAUGGUGGAGAGAUUCCUUCCCUGCCCAUAAUGGGACAAAGUAGAAGAUGCUGAAGACCUGGGAAUGGUUAUAUUGUACCCUUUCCUCCUCCUUUCCCAAACUUUUUAGUUUCACAUCACCUCAGUGCUCACUCUAAGCCCCCUGCUCUUGUUGCAGGAUAUCAUUUUGAAACAAUUGAUGUUUCCUGUAAAGACUUCAUCAGAAUCCAAGUUUUCCACUACAGUAGGCUUCAGGAACAAGAGAAAAGGGGUUUGUUCUUCACAAACCUUUGCCAGUGCAAAAAUAUCUUAGUUUUAUUGCUGUUGUUCUUACAGGUUUGAAAAGCAUCUUGUAAUCAUGAAAGCAUAGAAGAGAAAGUUCUAGAGCACAGUUAUGCAAAGAAUUACAGGGACCUGUAUUCUGUUUGUAGUGCUGUUCUGUACAGAGGGUCCUGGUUCAAUUUACCUUUUCCAUCUCUAGAACUUUAUCUUGCAUCUCCUUCAGGGCACAUUGCGAUUCUGCUUCACUCAGCCUGGCUUGGACCAGCUCUUUUUCCAGCUGUAGCACAAAGUCUUCACUGUAUCGUGAACUGCAUUUAUGCUACAAAGUUUGCAGAAAUAUGUUUAGUAUGAAGCACAGAUGGUUUGAAAGGGGUUUUAUAUACCAGACCUGGUGUGAAAAGUACAUUCAGCUGUGUAAGAUCAGGAAGACUACCUUAAGUGCUUACCUUAUGCAAGUCUAUUAAUAUGUCCAUCCAGACUGCCACCAAAAAUAUCCCUAAUGCUCUGCCUCAAACAACUGCACCCCCACCCAGCCUGUUAAUACUGACGAGCAACAACUCACACUUUUGUCUCAUUGUUAACCAAACUGAAAGAUUCUCAAAGGAUCUGUGCUAUGCAGAAAAAGAUGCUACAGGAACACUAGCUAAUUACAAGGUUAAUACAAGUAUCUCUCAAUUUCUACUCAAACUGUGAUUCGACAGAAUCCUUCUGUAAUUCUGGAUUUAAAAUGAAGUCAUGUGUGGCUUCAAUGUACAAUGACUUUGGUUUGCCCAUUUCUUCACUCCAACCCUUGGCUAUCAUUUGCUCACCAUAUACAUAUUCCUUCUGAGAUUCAGACACAUCCAACCAAAGCAUUUAUAUUCAAAAGCCUCACUUAACUUUUUUCCCCCUAGUCAAUAGCUUAAAAAACACAUUUUAUUUCUUCUUGGGUCACUUUAAAAUGACUUAGCAGUUUGACAGAUUGUCAGACUUGCCUGAUAGGCAUUCUGUAUUUGAAAAUUGAAAUCGGUAUUUUAAUUUCUGAUUUUGGAAAAAAGGGGGUGUUGACAUCCUCAAAGCAUAGCUGUCUAGUUACUGUGCUUACAUCGUUACCCUGAAAAUUAAGUUUAGAGGAAAAUAAUUCAAUACUUUUUUGGUGUCAUUAACUACAUUGUGAAAUAUAAAUACUAUACUUGGAUUAAUAGAUUAAGUUUUAAUUAAUUAAAAAUUCAACAGUAAAAUCCACAGAUUAUUCAUUAUACUAAAGAUGCAACUGUUUUCUUUGUGUUUGCAUAAAAAAAAUUAGUUUUCUACAUCUAAAAACAGAGACAAAAUGAAGAGCCUUCAGUUCCACAUGCUUCUGUUAUGGUGUGGCAUUCCCUGACCUUCAAUGCACAAACCAAAGGCGAACAGGACAAACCAAGGAUUUACAUGUAACUACAUGGUCAGGGAAACUAUUUUUUCAUUUAUUUUUAUACUUCUGCAUGCCAAGGAACCUUUGGCAUGACUUACAGUACAAUCCAAAUUCAGAAUCUACGCUAACCUUAGUGUUACAAUGUAUUAUAUUUCUUGUAUAAAUGUGCCUUCAGGAAGCUGUGAUGGAGGGAUGUAUACAAAGCACUGAAAAGCAAGCAGAGCUCAGGCAGUUUUUAGUGUCAUCAAGACCAUCCACUUAAGUGCUCUGCCUGCUUAACUGUGCAGCUGAACACACAGGGAACACAUAUAUAUUAUGAUCCUUGUACAUUAGUAUUAAUUUGCCCUUACACAUUACUAAUUUAAUUCGUAUUAUUUUCAACCCACACAGUGUCUUUGCCUCAGCAAGCAGUGGAGGCAGACCUGAUUUGAGUGCAAGAAAAGGAUGGGUGGGCAAUGCUGAUUCAUUUCUAUGAUUGCUUCACAUGAUGUAGGAACACAAGUACAAUAGGUAACAACAUGCAGACACAGAAAAGAGGCAACAGCUCUUUCAUAUUCCCUGGCUGCUUGUACAAGUUCAUCACAUGAUACACACGACAACUUAGAUGGACUCUACCUUUUUUGUUCCAGAUUCUGCCAAACAUUUUAAUCACAGUAGCACUUUGCUGACUAUGUUGAAAAGACAAAUGUAACAUAAAGCACUAAAAUUGCAGCUCUGCAGCCAUUUAAUUCUGAAAGAAACAAGUCCUUGCUUAGUUUCACACAACUGGAUUUAUUUUCUCCCAAUUUUUCUUAAACACAACCAUUCCUAAUAUUAUUUUGGUUGAUGAUAGAUGUAAUUACAGAAUGUUUCUCCAGCACACUAUACUGAAGAGCAAUUAACAGAUUGUUCAGCAGCUAACUUUGCUCAGCUAACUUUGCUUAUACAUUUAAGCACUAACACUGAACACAGUAUUUUUAUUUUCUGCAUUUUGGUUGCAAAUCAGAACACAGUAUUAGAAGAGUAUACUGCAAAGUACAGUGAAGCCUUCCAUAAGGUUGCAACACUCAUUUACAAGCAUAUAUUCCCUAAAUCAACUACUAUGCUUUUAAUAAUUAUCAGCCAUUGUAGCUUGAGUUCCUGAAAAACAACUAUGAAGUUGCUGUAACAAUAACCAAAUACAUGGCUAUAAAUUACCUUACAAAGUGCAUAUGCUUCCAUCUGAAUGCUUAGUCAAUUAAAAUUCUAUCUUCACAUAAUACAGUUGAAGAGACUAUUUAAAAAUAAGAUGUGAACCAAUUUCAGCUUGAUCUGCCUCUCAUUUCUCAGAUUCAGUUUUAAAGCACUCAGACUGAUGAACUGGGUAAUCAUUGACAAUUAAGGUAUCACUGGGAAAGACAAGAUUUGCAUUCUGGAGGUGUUUACAUCCAGCAGAAGCUACCUUUUUCAUUUAGAAACAAAAAGGGGAAAAGAACAGAGAAUAAAACCUUCAGCACAUAAUAUCAGGACUAAGUUACAACAGGCUGAUUACCCCUGCCCCUAACUCCUCAAAUACCAUUAUAUAUACUUAGCAUGCCUCAAAAGAAAACUGUAUUCUGUUAAAGUCAGGCACAACUUCCUCUAUGCAGUUCUUGAUUUACCACCAGUAUGAGGAAGAAGCCACCUUCCUCUUAACUGUUUGGUUAUCCACCACAACUUGCCUUUGGCAAGUUUCUGUAUUUAAAGGUUAGACAAGCCAAAGACAGAUUAGUACCAUCCAAUAGUACAAUGAUAACCUCUGAGUAGACUUCACACUUCAUUAUGAAGUCAUUCUGGUUCAUCUAAAAACUCCCUAUAAAUACUUCAGCACAGGAAGAAAUAAACUUGUGUGUAAUUUGGGCUUCUGGUGAUGGACUUCAGUCAAAAUACUCCUCUUCUACCCAUCUCUCUAUUCAGAAGUGCUGCAGUGGAGAAUUUCUUCACAGACACAAACAUCCAGUAAGCACCUUCAGUACUUACCCUUGAAUGAUCCAACCUGUGCUAUCGAAUCUCCUUGAGCAGAUUGCAUAAACCUCAAUAAUAUAUAAAUACAAACACAUAACCUUUUUACAAAGGACAUGUUAACCUUCUUAGAAAUACUACGGUUAGGUGAUAUUUUUGCUACCAACAAAAACGUGUUUUGUUGAGUUUUUUUAAUCCCAGGAUGUUAGUUGAAAGUAUCCUUAGGCAGUUCUUUUCAUACAUUCCUAUUCAGAAAUUCAUACCCAAACAUUACAAUUUCUGUCAUGCUGAAACAGCAUAUUCAAGACUGGAAAAUACGUAGAUUAUAAAAUACAUAGGAUAAAUGCUGUAUCUUUAAAUAAGCACAGAUAAACUAUCCAGCCACUUACAAGUUUACAGUGCUAUCAUUUUUGCUAAUCAUAAAGAAAGCUGAAAUAAUUGGGGAGAAAAACAUUAAAGCAGAUAUUCGCAAGACAGUACUGAAAAGGAUAUUGCCAAGAACAAAGCUACUGGCACUAGCACGUGGUAAAAAAUUUACCAGUGUAAAGUAAAAUGCCAAAAUUCCAAAUAAACCCACGCAUUCCCACCAGGUGGAGCCCUAAACAAACGCAACUGCUUACAUUUGUGUCGUUCCCAUUUCCAGCUUGGAAACAAAGUUAAAGCCUGUUCAAGCACUAAUGUUACUGAUGCAGUAGCCCAUAGCGAUCUCCUAACUGAAGCCAUUUUUGCACUUUCCCCACGUUGUCUAAUUCCGAUGGUUCUCAAAACCACAGCACUACUCCUUACACUUCAGAAUUAGCCAGCUACCAGGCACAAAUCUGUCCAUAACCACAUGUAUUUACAGUCUCAGUUCCACAUACAUAGUCUGACUAUUUCCUAUAGUCAUGUUCACGUUUAAGUGGAGGAAAACAACGCUGCAAGCAUGCAAAGUAGGAAGCGUGGCUCUUAAUUUAACUGCUCAUUCUUGUAUUUUACUUACUCUCCAUUCUCUCAGUACCUGUCCAGUCUUCUGCCCUGUCCAGUCUUCUGCCCUUACAGCUCCAAUCCAGCCAAUUUUGCAAUCCACAGCUAUUUACAGUUCUGCUCAGGACCAGUUCCCAUGCCCAGCCAACCUCUCAUGCCUCCCCAUCAUUGUUCUUCAGUAAGUUCCCAGCAUAAUUAAAGGCAUUAGCUUUUAAAGACAUACUACCUGUCAAUUAACUAAUAAAUAAAUAGAGUACCUUAGUCUCUUCUAAUAAGUUUUAACUACAUGCAGGUCAUUAAUGUGGAUGCCUCCAAAAAACACAUUCUAAGGGCAUGUGUACUAUUGUAAUCAGACAAUAAAUAGCUGGAUAACUAGAAGUCUAUCAUUUCCCACUGCAUUUCACUUGAAAGAUUACAAUAUAUCUAAAAUGUUGGAAAGCACCACAAGACCAUCCCCAUCUUCCUAACUGUUAUUUCUUCAUGGUGCUGUUUUCCUCCUAAAGAAAUUGCUCGUAUUAUAUAAACAGCAGCAUUUCACAUGACAGCUCAUCAGUAGUAGCUCAUCAGUCACUCCUUGCAAUUAUUCCAGCAUACCUUUUUUACGCUGAAAUGCAUUAAACAGACAUAAUAAAGACAACAUUCUAGAACUAGUCUAAGUUAUGAUUUCCUUUCGGUCCAACAGUAAAUUUCAUCUUUACCUUCCAAGGUGAGAUACAAGUAUUUCUAGAGCUUUGGUGGAAGAUGUAUAAAACCAACUGCCCUACUGACUUAACGGGGCCUGGUAAGCAGCUGCAGUAUGUUGUAGUUUUAAAAAGUGGUAUUUCAUACACCUGAAAUGCCCAAGACUCCAGACAAGUACUUAGAUACCACUUAAAGCAGUAUGAGGAUAUUCACAUCAGCACUAGUAGUGCAGAGUUUAUUCAGCAAGUGAAGAUGCUUAAAUGGCUUCCCCCACGCCCCAGGAGAAGACACUGGGCACUUUAAGUGGCUUAGAGGAAGUAACUUCAGUCUCACAGCAAUAGUCUGAAGUCGUGCACAUUUUACUACCUAAAACACAGAGUAACACAAACACAGUACUAUACUAUAUAUAAAUUAUUUUCCUGCUUCACAUCCACAUAAACCUACAUUUUUUAAUCAAGUCCUGUAGUUCCAAACUCAGGGACAACAUCCUUCCACUUCAGUAAGCAGUAAAUUUUAGUAUACUAGGAAAACCCCAAAUAUAGAUACACAGAAGAAACGCUAACAUGAAAUAAACUGACUUAGAAGAUACACUAUGUAAAGGCAUUGUAAACCAACUCCCAGAUUUGAGUAUUCAGAGUGACACAAUUUGCAAUGGGUAGAUUCUUAGCAUGAAGAGCUACCAAAGGCUGUAUGUGUGUGGUUUUGUUAGUAUUUCUUUGGUGGUAUGUGGAGGGGUUGGGUUGGGUGCUUUUUGUUGUUGAGUUUUUUGAUUGGUGUGUUUCAUUGUGGGUAUGUUGGGUUUUUUUUAUAAACUGAUAAACUUACAUCUAUCCAGGGUUAUGGAUCUCCCCUAUCAGUAAGAACAGACCAAAAUUUCGUUUAGUCUAAUUUGUAUAAUUUUAAGAAUGCAAAUCACAAUGAACAAGGAUUUACAAGGACAGCACAGAGACCAUGUCAUGAUGAGGAAAAAUAAACACAAGUGAGUGAAAAAGA
This is a long non-coding RNA of Pseudopipra pipra, 6797 nucleotides long. RefSeq lists it as uncharacterized. Lineage: Eukaryota; Metazoa; Chordata; Aves; Passeriformes; Pipridae. The record is from RefSeq and is a predicted model, not a curated record. The transcript has 5 exons.